UGCCAGCCGCCGCGGUAAUACGGAGGGUGCAAGCGUUAAUCGGAAUUACUGGGCGUAAAGCGCGCGUAGGCGGUACGGUAAGUCAGAUGUGAAAGCCCUGGGCUCAACCUGGGAACUGCAUCUGAUACUGCUUGACUAGAGUAUGGUAGAGGGGUGUGGAAUUUCCUGUGUAGCGGUGAAAUGCGUAGAUAUAGGAAGGAACAUCAGUGGCGGAGGCGACUUGCUGGACUGAUACUGACGCUGAGGAGCGAAAGCGUGGGGAGCGAACGGGAUUAGAUA
Molecule: ribosomal RNA, 279 nt
Filed under: uncultured bacterium
Lineage: Bacteria
Description: partial 16S ribosomal RNA
Rfam family: Bacterial small subunit ribosomal RNA
Source: RNAcentral